RNAcentral lists this long non-coding RNA (245 nucleotides) under Homo sapiens (human). RNAcentral's name for it is "HSALNT0118357". The record is from RNAcentral. Lineage: Eukaryota; Metazoa; Chordata; Mammalia; Primates; Hominidae.
CCUUUUGUAAUGUACAAGUAGAAGAAGUCACAGUAUAGGAUGGUCUGGACUACGCCGGCCACCACAGCAAUGAGGUCAAAGAAGCCCUCAAAGUAGAAGCGCCAGAUCCAGUUGACAAGAUACAAAGCACGAUAGAGGCCCAGGAAGAACAGGCAGGGACCACCAGAAACUCCACUCGGAAGGUAUCAUGAUUUCCAUCGUAGGUUGCCUUAAAUUUCAGGUAGAUCAGGUACACUGUGGCAUAG